This 342-nucleotide unclassified non-coding RNA is filed under the name soil metagenome. RNAcentral's name for it is "partial contains 5.8S ribosomal RNA, internal transcribed spacer 2, and large subunit ribosomal RNA". The stretch from base 1 to 119 matches the Rfam family "5.8S ribosomal RNA", at positions 35 to 154 of the family's 154-position model. The record is from RNAcentral.
GAUGAAGAAGUAGCGAAAUGCGAUAAGUAAUGUGAAUUGCAGAAUUCAGUGAAUCAUCGAAUCUUUGAACGCACAUUGCGCCCGCCAGCAUUCUGGCGGGCAUGCCUGUUCGAGCGUCAUUUCAACCCUCGAGCCCCCCCGGGGGCCUCGGUGUUGGGGGACGGCACACCAGCCGCCCCCGAAAUGCAGUGGCGACCCCGCCGCAGCCUCCCCUGCGUAGUAGCACACACCUCGCACCGGAGCGCGGAGGCGGUCACGCCGUAAAACGCCCAACUUUCUUAGAGUUGACCUCGGAUCAGGUAGGAAUACCCGCUGAACUUAAGCAUAUCAAUAAGCGGAGGA